UGCCAGCCGCCGCGGUAAUACGGAGGGUGCGAGCGUUAAUCGGAAUUACUGGGCGUAAAGGGCGCGUAGGCGGUUCGGUAAGUCAGAUGUGAAAGCCCAGGGCUUAACCUUGGAAUUGCAUUUGAUACUGUCGAGCUUGAGUGUGGUAGAGGAAAGCGGAAUUCCGGGUGUAGCGGUGAAAUGCGUAGAUAUCCGGAGGAACAUCAGUGGCGAAGGCGGCUUUCUGGACCAACACUGACGCUGAGGCGCGAAAGCGUGGGGAGCAAACAGGAUUAGAUA
RNAcentral lists this ribosomal RNA (279 nucleotides) under uncultured bacterium. RNAcentral describes it as "partial 16S ribosomal RNA". It matches the Rfam family "Bacterial small subunit ribosomal RNA", at positions 506 to 784 of the family's 1533-position model. The record is from RNAcentral.